AAAAAACAGAAUAAGUGCUGUAAAUGUUUGCUCAUUCUGUCCCUUUGUGUAUUACACUAGAUUCUCUCCAAAUCCCCGGUGAGGGUAGUGCCUGUCCAGAAGGACUGUUAAACUUGUAAAGCACAUUUUCUUCCAAGUGUGAUUUCCAAGAUGAGGCUGUACAAACUGCAGACAGUGCUCUUAAAGCCUCCCAUGGGGUUUGGUGUCACUGGUGUUGUUCUGCUUGGACCUGCUGUUGGAGGCAGGAGAGCAAAGCACCUCCGAGGAGGCGCAGGCGGUAGCACACUGCAGCCCACAGCCCCGCUGAUGGCCAGUGCCGCUGAUUCUGGCAGAGGAGGAAACUGUUUCACUGAUUGCUUUAGAAGAAACUUACAUACUUUGAUACAAACCUCUCCCUUCUGACCACAGCAACUCCUGAAGUGAAGACAACCAGCUUUACAGACAGGGUAUAGAUGAGGAAUGCUUUUCAGGAGCACACAUUUGGGCAGGUGGUGAUUGGUGCUGAGCAAGCCUCAGCAUCAGAUUACUGUGUCUUGGAUCCCAGCUCUUACUUCGCUAGUGUCACAUCUCUCUCAGCUAGUAAUGACAGCCUAAUUUAUUUGAUCCCUCUAUGUGACACUCUUUGAACUCCUCUACAGAGAAGGACUUAAUUCAGCAGGUGUGUUCAUACUGCCCCAUCGUGCAUGGUGAUUACCUAGCCCAAGACACAUACAGAAGCAGUCACAAUUAAGAAUCAGUUUUCUAGGUACCAGUCUUGUGUUUGGGCAAAUAAACUGCAGCUGUCCCAUUAAAAUUUUUAGUUUGGGUACUUAAACCUUAACAGUAGGUUUUAUGCAGAAGACUCUUAAGGCCCCAAGCAACUUGAUCUAACUUUUAAGUUAGCCCUGCUUUUAAAGGGACUUUGGACCAGGCACCCCACAAAGGUCCCUGACAGGUCUAUUUUUACAGUAAAUGUGUGUUGCUGUGCUGUUCUAUAUUGUUUGCUUUUCUAUUGAAUUUAAAAGGAAACUUGGUUUACUUUCUUGUAUUCUAUUUAAAAGAUCUACCAAAGGAGUGCUAAAGGGAACAGACAGAACUGUGUAUGCAAAAGUUGGAGUUGCACUCAGUAACGACACAUGUAGGGUUUUAUGCAGACAGUAACAAGUACCAGCGCAGCUGUUGUGCGUGGUCAGUGCACACAGAGAGGGAUGGAUUAGGUUGUGUUUUUGCUGACUGGCUCAGAACACAAACAAACUACCUUCAAAACCACCUCCUUGAAAAUCAUUUUGCUUUACUUACCUGCCAAAACCUGAGCUCAAGGUUCUGUGGUUUCCCUUGUAAGAGUUGAUUACACCAUUAAGCUACAUCAUCAACUGUCGCAGGAGAAACACUGAGCCAUGAACUUGGGUCCUAGCAGGUACAAAGCCUUUAAUUUCACCUUGGAAAAAAAUAAGAUAUUUUUGAUCACCCAGUUUUUAAGACUUGACUUUGGAUGGGUUUUAUGGGGUUGGGUUUAGGAAUUUUUUAAUGCAUGCGCGUGAGAGUACAGAAUGAAGGAAAAACAAAAGACAAACACCAGAUUCUCGUGAUGUGUUUUGAUGUCUGAGGUUCAAAUGGGGUUUUUUUGUCAAAUUUUGUCUCUCUGGCAGGAUCUGAAUGGUGUCAGAGGGGACACAGGACUUGCUACAGUUGGUUACGUCUCAGUAGUGCUGUUAUCUGUAAGUUUGGGUCAGUUGAUGCAUACAAGACAUACUUUAUGCGCCUUCAAAAGAUAACAGUGAUGAAAUUUUGGUCAUACAGUUAUUUAAUCACCCCCCCGUUUGGACUUGGUGAGGUACUAAAAGUUCUUAAGAGUUUCUUUCAACCAGUUUAUGAAAGUAAGCUUCCUUUUAUUUAUUAUAGGUUUUAGACUAUCGUCUAGUAACUCAUGUUAAAUUAGCUGACUGCACCCCAUUUGCAAGCUGAUUCUACAAAGAGCUACUGCAAAUGAUUCACUUCCUGAAAUUCUUUUUCUAGGUUCAAGAAAGCAAACUCUUUGAUGGGACUGACCUCUUUCAAAAACUGUAUUUAUAAUUGGCAAAGCUAAUUAAGUAACAAAGUAGAAGAAACUGCUGAUUAGCGCUGCAGUACUACUGCAAAAAAAUCUCAUUUGCAUUAAUUUAAAAGAUCAAUUUGUUUUAGCUGCAAUUAUGUCCUUCUAAAAGACUGUGAAUGCUGGGUAUUCACUUAACCUGCACAACUGCUUAUGGAAGGGAAAUGUUCAUUUCAAGUACGUGAGGAAAGUGAAUUGUAAAUGUGCAUGUGUCUGCUUCUGACUAAGACUUGUACCACUGUACGCCACGGUUUGCUGUUUGUCUCUAGGGGAAGUAGACACAAGUACUGGACAUCUGGCUACGCUGUACUAACAGUUAAAUGCUAACAAUUUCACAGAACUACCUGUGACUGUGUUGCACAACUAAACCUAAACUUUGUCAGAGUAAUUGUCUUAAUUCAUAAGACACAAAGAAAUGGAGGAUAAAAAGUAACUGGAACGCUUAUUUUUUCCAAAUAACUCCAUGGUUUAAGUAUGGAAGUUCUGUGACGCAGCUCUCUGGCCGAUGGUUGGUUUGUAGUGCUGACCAGAGCUGCAGCGAGCAGAGGAGCACAAAAAGCAGUGUAUGUAAGGGAGCCGCAAAACUUCCUCCCUCAUCAUAAAGCUUGAGGGACCAACUCUCAUUCAGGUGAGAAGCACCCGAGUUCAAGACAACUUUUCUUACUGGUGUUGGAGCCUGUCACCAAGAACUGUGACCCAGUGUCCAGCAGUGGAGACUGGUAAAAUUUGCAUUUAAAUCUUGUUUCUUAGCUGUGUUGUAAUGUGUUCUCCUGUGUCAGGGUCUAUUCAGGGUUUAAAGACAAAAAUGGGCUUAUUCCAGUGCUUUGCUUGAAGGUGACAAUCACCUUUGUGAGAUGAGAUUAUCUGUGUGUGUUUCAUGAAGCCUUUCUGAGCAGAAGCUUGUGUGGCUUCCAGCACUGUGGCAGGGUCCAGACUGUUAUAUCCAGCUUAUUAAUUGUUCUAUAAUUAUAAAUGCCUUGCUCAUUAUUUGUACCAAGUAUGUUCUUCUAGUCUGAUGUUUUACAUAUACUAUACUUAACAUGUAAGAGAUAUUUAAGAACUAGUUGUUCUGCUGGUUUUAUGGCCUAAUUAAUUUAGUAAUGUGAACUACUUUUAUUUAGAAACUAGAGGAGUGCUGAUGAAGAAAUAAAUCUCUGGAUAGCUUACAUUGCCAAUUUAAUUGUCUGCAAAGCUUGAUCAAGGUUUAUUAUUGAAAAAUCUGAGAACGGAUCAGUUAUAGGCUGUACUCUGUUUUGCUGUGUAUAUCAUUAACACUUGUUAGCUAGACAGUGCUCCACAGCUUCUGUGCUAUUUAACAUUUAACUGUCUUUAAGGCCCAGAGUCCAUUAAUGGCUUUACAUUUUAUUGAACUUACUGGCAAUUUUUAUGUUUACCAGUCCCUUGCAGAGAUGGGAGGACAGGCCCUCUUGGCCUCUCAUGGAAGUGACCAUUUCUCUAAUGUGUAAGCAUGUCUACAUGAUUUACACAUGCAGAUCCAUGUUUCCCUGCAGAUCUGCAAUAAAGCGAAUGGAAAUUCUGGUCUAACAGAGGUUUUUUUCAUCUUACUACUUAUAUGUUAUAUAUAUACACAUAGAUAUUUGUAAUCCCUCAUAACAUAUUGCAGAAAACUGAAAGCCACAUUUAGUAGGCAAAAAGUCUUAUGUAUAUUCUGUUACCACCACUUAAGAAUAUUUUCCAUUUAUCUCAUAUUGAGGUGCUGCACAUACACAUAGAUAGCAGAAGUAAUACUCAAAUCUGUACUGAUUAUUUGAUGGGUCUUUAUCUAUCAGUCAUGUAUUUGUCAGUGGAAUUUAACUGUAACUCUUCAGAGAAUAAAACAAAAUACCCCAAAAGUAAUUUGGUGACAGAUUGUCUUGAAAGACCACUUGAAAACACAAGGGGUUUUUUUGGGGGGGGUAGGGGGUGUUUAAUUUUUUUUUUUAAAAGAGCUCCAAGCCUGCUUUUGGAACCAUAAAAUAGAAUGUUGCACCCACAUAUAGAUUUGCAUUUGCAAGCUUGAUUGUAAGGCCAAAUUACCUUACUCUUGCUUUCCAAAAAUCCGUUUCACAUGUACCAAAUUCAUAUUUUCGAUAUGUGGAUAGAAAUGCCUGGAAAUUUUGCAGGUUCUUGAAUGCACAACGCAUGACGAUGUAACAAAUUCUUAUUUUUAAUAUAAAUUAAACCCUGACUUUAUAGCUAAAAUUCAAUUUCUUUGUUCAAAACUGAUACAGAGAAGACUUCAAGGCAGCCUCAAGUAAUAUGUUCAACUAAGUGUCCAACUAUACCAUGCAGUGUACUGUACUUUGUAAAAAUGCCAACAUAACCUGUGCCUGUAUAAAGUCCCAUUGCCAUUAUGGGUGUUAACUGAAGCAUCUUCACAGGUUCACUCAUUCAAAUAACUUUACCUCUUUAGUAUAUUUUGGUAUUGAACAGCUAGAACAUCUUUUAUAGUUAGUCAUGGUAAUAACAUAUUUAGUCCAUGAAACUAACCUUCAAGUUAGAGAAGGUGCAAAAAGGAUUCUCACAUUCAUUAAGUGCUGCUCUACAACAUACAAAGCUCAUUAAUUUCUCUCUACUGGCAUUAUUAUUUAACGGUAUAGGUAAUCAAGAAAUUUAUCUUAAGACUUCUGCAAAUUAAGGGGUUCUUGUAUUUCUCCUAAGUCCACUAGCUCAAACCAGAGAUACCUGUUUCUUGAUAUUAAACACUCCUUAAAAGUAAUGCUGUGCUUGUAUCACUGACAGAUACGAAGCCAUAUUCCUAGUAAUGCCUGAUGUGCUAUUUAAUUCCUCUCUGUACUUCUGAGCUUGUUUUUUUAGCUGUAUUGAAUUCUGCCAGCUUUCUAGACUGGGUAAUUAGUUCUUGGGUUGGGAGUGGUGUUUUAAACUUUAUGGGCUUUUUAUUUGAAGAAAACUACAUUUCCUUUUGUUGCUGUCCCUGAUAGGGCUGUGGCCAGGGACCUGGCUGCCUGCAGAAGGCCCGUCAGACAAGCUGUCUGUCUGGAUACCCUUUCCUGCAGUGCUCGAAGUUUCUUGUCCUAUGAGCCUGUCCCGCACUUACACCUUUUACAAGGUUAAAACUUCUUAGCCUCACUUGAAGACUCUCUUGGGAUUGACAGAAUAUUCACCUGUGUUUGGAGCUGCUGUCACUUACAUCUGUCACUGUCUACAGCUGAGACAACAGAAUAUUUAUCCUGUUUCAGGGAGGGUGAAGGCAGAGGAAGACAAGGAAAGUGCAGGCAGUCACUGGUGGAUCUGUCCCUAAGCCAGAGGAUUCUCCUGAGCUCCCCAGACUGGAGCAGAGUCUGCUGGUGACUGUUAGUGACUGACUACUGCAGAAGUUUUACUAUGCAGCCUUCUUUCUUCCUCUCUCAGGCUGCCUUGGUCUCAAUAUAUCACAAUGUCACAGGUGAACUAAAAAGAGUGUUCUCUCCAAUUUUUUAUGCAACAUAUGCCAUUCCAAUGGAAAAGUGGGAAACCAUUAGUUUAUAUCCUCCACUAUCUAGGGCAGGCAGGUGAAUUGUAUUUUCCAAACUUCUUAACUCAAAAUCAGAUUUUCUCUUCAACGCUGAAAAGUAUAUCUUGUAAAGUCUUUUAUGAGUUUGUGAAUUUGCAGUCUCCUGCUACAGAGAGAACGUGUGCAUUUUGUACAUCUUUCAAUGACAUCUACUGUAACCACUCUGUAGAAAAAAUACUGCAUGUAAAGGUUUUUGCCUUAUAGCAGAAUGUGCUGCUUAUAAUCCCCUUAUUGACUAAACCUGAUGGAAUAAUUUUCAGUGUCUCUAUCCAGAAAGUAGAAAAGAUUUAAGUCUAAAAGCUGAACAUCCAAACAUAAAUUAUAGUCAGUUGAGAAAAAGAAGUCAACUCAAACUGGCUUUAGAAUUUCCUGUGCAGCCUUAAUGGAGUGCCUGACAGUGCCUCGACCCAUCAACCAAUUUAUGCACAGGAUCACAGUCAUUUGCAUUAGUCAUAAAUAAAUACGUAUCGUACGGUGUGUCCCCGUGCGCCCAGAUCUAUACUAAACCAGAACUGGGAUCUGUGGCUCUCAAAGAACGACAGGAAAGAGCCUCGAAGAAAGACUGCCUGCCGCUGUGCAGGGGUGGGGGAGCGCACCAAACGCCCCGCGGGGUGGGGACGGUGCCCCAGGGCUCUGCGCCUGCUCGGAACAGCGCAGCUUUACACCCCCCCGCCCCCCGAGGGGAAGAGGAAGGGGCUUUCAUAAGCACUCUGCUAAUUAAAAAACAAAGGCUCAAAAGCACGAGCUGAAGACAUUAACAUAAUUAGAAUUUCCGUGGAAAGUGCCAAGCAUGGAAAUACAUCCAAAGCAGCUUUUCUCCCAGAUUUCACAUUUCCUCCAACUUUUUUGACUUUAGGGGCCGUUUUUUUUUUGAGUGGCAGCAUUGAUGUAAACCGCCAAGCAGAGUCAUUUUGAGUUAAUCAUAAUAGAGGCAAAUAUUUGUGACAACCACUAGGAGAUAAAAUAAAUACCCUUGCAGCUUCCUAGUCAAUUCCCAGCUACAGUAGAAACACUAGUAUAUUAAAUAUGGUCCGAAAUAAAAUAGUAAGGAAAAUAUGAUUAUUCGGUCUAAUUUGGUGUUUCACAGAUGGACAAGGACUAUGCUGACAGGAAAACUACUUGACUUCUGAAAUAUUACAAGCCCUAUAAUUCUACAUAAAAACAUUCCUUUGUGUGGCCAAAUACUGUAGCUACUUUUAGACUGUUUCAGUUUCAAGGGUAUAAUAUUGUGGUGAGUCGUGGUGAGCAGCCACGUGGCAGUCCUGCAGGAAGACAACACUGAGUGUUCAUUUUAGCCUGCAACAUGGAUCUUGGCAGAAAGGUUCUGCUUCCAUCAAACCAAAUUAACACUUCGCAAAUAAAACAUAAUUUUUGCUGCUUAAUACAGAAGAAACUUCUAAAUUCACAUUUACAAAGAAAAUAUAUGUAAGCAAAUAAGCCAGAGUGGCUCCUUCACCAUAAGCCUGGCUUACGUUCACCUCAACUGUUACACAUUAAUAGCCCUGUAUUACUAACACAUUCACCGAAUCACCCUUCUACAGAGAGCUACUUCAGAAUCUGCUUUCUAAAAAUCAUUGUACAGUCUUAGUUGUAUCAUGGACGAUUCCUCUAUGUCUGUGGAAAUUUACAGGAAGGUAAUAUCUAAAUAAAUUUGUAAGUUCCCAGUGUUUUAAAAUAGGAUAAUUAUUUCAAGAAGAAAAAGUUGUAUGUGAUACCCUGUUAAACUCUGAUGUUACCAGAGGUAAAAUUAAAACAGAACAUAUUUGUUGUUUAAUAAAGUGUCCCAAUUAUAUAAUUUUGACAGAAAUUAAAUUUUUCAAUAUUAUGCUGAAAUAUGCAAAAUAUAUUCCAAUGCUCAGUACAUUUGCAAAGGUUAAGUAAUCAAACUAAUCAAACAUUUGGAAGCUAGGGGCAGAUUCUGAUCCCUGUUACACCACUGAACAUUGCAUUUUAUUAGCCAGCGGGGGGGGGAGGGCAUAAAAAGCUCAUUACAGAUGAGAAAGAGGCUUUUUUCCGUAAAGGGGAAAGCCUGCUAAGGGUGUGUUUGGAAUUCAAAAUGCCAGUUUCUACUGCUAUGUAUUUGCAUUUGUUCCCUACGUGUAAAUUAAAUAAAUAAGUGCUAAACUGACAGCUAUGAAUUUUUAUCUUCAGUCAAGAGUACUGACUGUGUCAAGUACACAGAAGUACUUGACAUCAAGUACUUUUUAUUAAAAGAUUUCAU
Molecule: long non-coding RNA, 7806 nt
Organism: Athene cunicularia (burrowing owl)
Lineage: Eukaryota; Metazoa; Chordata; Aves; Strigiformes; Strigidae
Exons: 3
Source: RefSeq, a predicted model, not a curated record